GAUGAACGCUGGCGGCGUGCCUAAUACAUGCAAGUCGAGCGAACAGAUGAGGAGCUUGCUCCUCUGACGUUAGCGGCGGACGGGUGAGUAACACGUGGAUAACCUACCUAUAAGACUGGGAUAACUACGGGAAACCGGAGCUAAUACCGGAUAAUAUAUUGAACCGCAUGGUUCAAUAGUGAAAGACGGUUUUGCUGUCACUUAUAGAUGGAUCCGCGCCGCAUUAGCUGGUUGGUAAGGUAACGGCUUACCAAGGCAACGAUGCGUAGCCGACCUGAGAGGGUGAUCGGCCACACUGGAACUGAGACACGGUCCAGACUCCUACGGGAGGCAGCAGUAGGGAAUCUUCCGCAAUGGGCGAAAGCCUGACGGAGCAACGCCGCGUGAGUGAUGAAGGUCUUCGGAUCGUAAAACUCUGUUAUUAGGGAAGAACAAAUGUGUAAGUAACUAUGCACGUCUUGACGGUACCUAAUCAGAAAGCCACGGCUAACUACGUG
RNAcentral lists this ribosomal RNA (497 nucleotides) under uncultured bacterium. RNAcentral describes it as "partial 16S ribosomal RNA". It matches the Rfam family "Bacterial small subunit ribosomal RNA", at positions 28 to 507 of the family's 1533-position model. The record is from RNAcentral.